GCGCCUGUAGCUCAGUGGAUUAGAGCGGAGGCCUCCGGAGCCUCAGGUCGGAGGUUCGAAUCCUCUCAGGCGUACCA
RNAcentral lists this transfer RNA (77 nucleotides) under Candidatus Magnetominusculus dajiuhuensis. RNAcentral's name for it is "tRNA-Arg". It matches the Rfam family "tRNA". From Rfam's summary of the family: Transfer RNA (tRNA) molecules are approximately 80 nucleotides in length. Their secondary structure includes four short double-helical elements and three loops (D, anti-codon, and T loops). Further hydrogen bonds mediate the characteristic L-shaped molecular structure. tRNAs have two regions of fundamental functional importance: the anti-codon, which is responsible for specific mRNA codon recognition, and the 3' end, to which the tRNAs corresponding amino acid is attached (by aminoacyl-tRNA synthetases). tRNAs cope with the degeneracy of the genetic code in two manners: having more than one tRNA (with a specific anti-codon) for a particular amino acid; and 'wobble' base-pairing, i.e. permitting non-standard base-pairing at the 3rd anti-codon position. The record is from RNAcentral. Lineage: Bacteria; Pseudomonadati; Nitrospirota; Nitrospiria; Nitrospirales; Nitrospiraceae.